RNAcentral lists this long non-coding RNA (452 nucleotides) under Mytilus galloprovincialis (Mediterranean mussel). Lineage: Eukaryota; Metazoa; Mollusca; Bivalvia; Mytilida; Mytilidae. The record is from RNAcentral.
UAAAAUUGAAAAUGGAAAUGGGGAAUGUGUCAAAGAGACAACAACCCGACCAAAUAAAAAGCAACAGCAGAGGGUCACCAACAGGUCUUCAAUGUAGCGAGAAAUUCCCGCACCCGGAGGCGUCCUUCAGCUGGCCCCUAAACAAAUAUAUACUAGUCCAGUGAUUAUGAACGCCAUACUAAUUUCCAAAUUGUACACAAGAAACUAAAAUUAAAAUAAUACAAGACUAACAAAGGCCAGAGGCUCCUGACUUGGGACAGGCACAAAAAUGCGGCGGGGUUAAACAUGUUUGUGAGAUCUCAACCCUCCCCCUAUACCUCUAACCAAUGUAGAAAAGUAAACGCAUAACAAUACGCACAUUAAAAUUCAGUUCAAGAGAAGUCCGAGUCUGAUGUCAGAAGAUGUAACCAAAGAAAAUAAACAAAAUGACAAUAAUACAUAAAUAACAGCAG